This 253-nucleotide ribosomal RNA is filed under the name uncultured bacterium. RNAcentral's name for it is "partial 16S ribosomal RNA". It matches the Rfam family "Bacterial small subunit ribosomal RNA", at positions 524 to 776 of the family's 1533-position model. The record is from RNAcentral.
UACGUAGGGUGCAAGCGUUGUCCGGAAUUAUUGGGCGUAAAGAGCUCGUAGGCGGCUUGUCGCGUCGAAUGUGAAAUCUCAGGGCUCAACUCUGACAUUGCAUUCGAUACGGGCAGGCUCGAGUUCGGUAGGGGAGACUGGAAUUCCUGGUGUAGCGGUGAAGUGCGCAGAUAUCAGGAGGAACACCGGUGGCGAAGGCGGGUCUCUGGGCCGAUACUGACGCUGAGGAGCGAAAGCGUGGGGAGCGAACAGG